RNAcentral lists this long non-coding RNA (8649 nucleotides) under Homo sapiens (human). RNAcentral describes it as "HSALNT0169056". Lineage: Eukaryota; Metazoa; Chordata; Mammalia; Primates; Hominidae. The record is from RNAcentral.
GAUUGAAACAAAAAAUGCCAGACAGACAUGCGGCAGCUGUGUCUCAGCACGCAGGGACGACGGGCAAUCUCACUGCAAUGCUGCAUGGCCUAAUGAUGAGUACGCAAUGCAAGUGAUCGUGCAAAGGUUAAGUAGUGUUCAACACCUCCUCUUUUAAAAGGAACAGGAUAUGAUGUGGUUUCUGAAAGAGUUCCCACAAGAAUCAUAAGAGACGUUCAGGUUUGUGCUUCGGAAGAGUCUAUUUCAAUGAUCUGGAUUAUCCAUUUCUUGGCAGUGCUGGGCAAAUGAAGUGUUACCUUCCUCAUUACAGAAGCUCUAAGCCAGCUGGACUGGUUUCAGAACUAGAGAGCAGAUGUGGCUGAAGGGCCUGCAGAGGGGAUCCUUGUGGUGCAUUGGCAAAGUCCCACUCCAGGAGGAGGGCUGAAGCCCGUACUGCAGGUUUCUCCGGCCCCACAGUUCCUAGAAUCGCUGUCAUGGGAGGGAAGGCUGGUUUUAGGGGGAGGCUGCAAGACCAGAUUAAAUUAAGGGGGGAAGUGGCAUGAACAGAACACACCUCCUUUUAUCUUCAAAGCCGUUUUCAAAAACUGAAUUCAGAAACAGCCUAGCCUCCUGGGAGGCACUCCAUGGGAGGGCUUCUGCAGGCCAGUUUUAAAGAGAGGAGUGAGGUUCAGACACCUGCGGGGGUCAGAACCAGAAGGAAAAAAUGUCUCCUCUGAAGCAGGUGCUCUGUUCUGACUACCCGCCACUCUUCCAGAGAGUUCUACAACUUUGCAAGCCCACCCUUCAAAGGGAGCAGAUCAACAAUGAUUCCUUUGAGACACAGCCUUGAAAAUGGGAUGUAUACAAUACUACCGUUCUCAUCUGACUUCUUGUUCCUACAGAUUAAGUGGCAUGGGGCAGGGGUGGAAUUUCUAUGAAUUGCUCAAUAACAAGCCCUGCCUCUAGGGUGCAGGUCAUCACUACCUAGUGACUCUCAUAUCCAUAGCAUUAUAAAUCGGUCAAAUGAUAAGCCUGCACCCUAUGCCUCUUACUUGAACAUCAAACAGGAUUCACCAGGAGGUCUCUUCCACUCUACCUUGGUUUAGCCGACCCUAAGAUUACUCACUGGAAACAAAGCAAUUGGAACACACAGGGAGCAACAUUUAAUGCAAAAGCCUGAAGCUGACAAUAAUAUUACCCUCUCCAAUCCCAUCAGCAUCAACAGAAUCAUCCUCUUCUGUGGUUUCAAAUCAUCCAAUGGAAUUUUUAGGUCUCAAUCAACUGAAAUUUGAAAAAAAAAUCACCUACAGGAUGUGUUAAACUUCUACUUGUAAGAGUCCAUGUGAGGACUUAUAAAUCAAUGAACUACAUGAGAAAAUUCCAGAAAUGUUAAGAGCUUAGCCAGUGAUUCUGGGAGUUUAACCAUUCGCUCAGCUCGUCUCCUGCUGAGUGUCACUCAAGCAACCCAACAGCCACUUGCCAGCUCUAGAAUAUCAGAACAGACUGGGAAGGGGGAGGUGAGAAAGAAGUUUUAUGUAUAUAUAUAUACACACACACACACACACACAUAUAUAUAUAUAUACAUACACACACACACACACACACACACAUACAAUGAAAUAUCAAUCAACCUUAAAAAGGAAGGAAAUCCUGACAUAUGCAGCAACGUGGGCGAACUUUGAAGACAUUAUGGUAAGUGAAAGAAGCCAAAUCACAAAAGGAUAAGUAUUGCAUGAUUCCAUAUAUAUGAGGUACCUAGACUAGUCAAAUUCAUAGACACAGGGAGUAGAAUGAUGGCUACCAGGGGAGAGGAGAUGGGAGAAUGAGGAGUUAGUGUUUAAUGGGUCUGGAGUUUCAGACUGGGAGAUGGAUGGUGGAAAGUUACACACUACGGAUGUGAUUACUCCCAUAAAACUGUACAUUUAGAAAUUGUUAAAAUGAUAAAUGUUAUUUUAUAUGUAUCACCACAAUACAAAAAAAUCCCUACUGGAGGGAUUUCCCAUCUUGAUGUCUUUACAUUGACCAAGGCUCCAAGCACAGCAAUGAUCCACAGCAACCCUCAGAGCUCACAUUGUUGACUAUUGUAAUCAUACCCUGCUUUCCCGCUUGCAUUUUUCACCUUCUCGUUUUCUCUGGCUGACAACGCGUUAUUUCUUGGCAACUGACUAUUCUAUGUCAGAAGCCCCAUGGAGUAGACAUUCCACUGGAUGUAAGAAGUUGGGAGAAAAAAAUUUUUUUAAAAGACCAGUUUAUAAUAGCAUAAUACUCUAGGCUUCCUAUUUUAAAGAAUCUGGCAAAGAAACUCAUAUUGGGUUCUUUUUUUAAUAUAGAAAACUAAAAGUUCUGAUUCAUUUUAGCCAAAGAUUUUAGGCACAUAUAAUAUUAUGCUCAUAACUUAAGAACAAUUUAUAUAAUUUUUCAUAAUGUGCAAAGAAUGAAAAAGAUCAAACAGGGAAAGUGACUUAAUGUCUUUGAAGCUCUCUGUAUUAUAAAUUCAUCCUUCUUUGCAACACCAUCACUCAUCUCGAUCUGGCAGCAUUUUUCACUUUCUUCCUGUCAAAAGAGACUGUUGCUGCAGCAAAGAGUUACACAGAUGAUACUAAAGCAGUAAAAACAAAGGAACAUUCUCCUUUAAAAAGAAACGGAAGCAGGAUUCCCGAAAGUGUAUCCCGUGAACUAUCAGCAUCAGAAUCACUAAUGUGCUUAAUAAAAAUGCAGACAUCCUGCUGAAUCAGAAUCUCUGGGAAUGCAGGCCUGGGUCUGCUUUUUAUUAAAUAAGGUCCCCAGUAACUACGGGAAGGCCUGACUGAGGCAAGCUCAUGGAGAAAACUAAGUUCAUUUUUGAGUCUUGAAUCAAAGGCUGGCUUGUGAGGAGCAGAGACAUGGGGCUCAGUGCCUGUCUGACUGCAUAGCCCCCCCGUCCCCAUCAUGGAUGCCGCAUCCAUUCUCCCUCAUGACCCCAAUAUCCUCAUUUCCAAUAUCCUUCCCAUAUCCUUAGACUCAACAUUGGUUGGCUUUGAAGGGGAGAGCGGAUCACUGUUCCCCUAAGGACACUGAGUGGAUGAAGACAAUCUGGUCAUGGUCAUGAAGACAAUCGGCCAUUGGAUGAUAGCCAAUCUGGUGCUGGAACCUCAGUGGUACUCUCUGAUGGGUCUCACCACUGUGGGGGUUGCCCUGCCUGGAGCCAUCAAGGUCCAUCCCUCACUCAACCACAGCCCCUGCCCCAGAUGCCCUGGGUAGCCAAACCAGUGUCUGUAAACUGUAAACAGAUCUUGGUCUUAAGUAACUUUUAACCAUUGCUUGUGGCUACCUGGAGGGCUGUGGCCAGUGACUUCUGACAGCUGAAUCAGAAACUUGCCUUCAUGGAUUUGCAAUGUCUGAAUGGGCUGGGGUGGGGCAAGGACAGCCUCAGAUUGCCAGAACACCAUCUCUGCUCUUUCAUUGCUUUUAAGACAGUAUUUUUCAUACUUCAGUGAAUUAUUUACUUAUAUAAAAAUACAUGUACUUGUAUUUAUUUACAAGUACUUAUGUAGUACUUUCUAUAUUCCAGACAGUCUUCUAGGGGUCUUAUAAAUAUUAACUCUUUUAAUCUUUAUAACAAUAUUGAAGCAGAGGUUGUUUUUAUCUUCAUUUUUUAAGUGAGGCAACUGAAACACAGAGAGGUUGAGAACUUUGCCCACAGUUGCACAGCUGGUAAAUGGCAGAGCCAAGGCAGUCUGUCUUCCUAAUUUGUGUCAAGCUGUUUAUAUGGGGUAUAUAUAAGUUAAUGGCAAAAUAAAGCAUAUCAAUAAAAACAAACAAUGUAUUAAAUUCUGGUUACUGUUGCCUAUCCUGAGUCUUACUUUCUGUUUGUUGAAGGGGAGAUUAAGGAGUGUUUUUAGAGGCAUUAAAGGAAAUAGCACAAAACUGAUGCCUUCUCAUUGACAUAAUUGGAACUGAAAGAGAACUGCAAAGCUGGAGUUUUGUAAUCCAAGCUUUACUAAAACCAAAGGAGAGGAAAAAGAAAAAAGAAAAAGAAGCCUGAAGAAAUAAAAGAAACAAACAAAAUCCAGAAAACAAGUGGUGCACUCUGAGGACUGGGGUUUGAUCCUACAAUAGUAGCACAACAAGGACCUGCUAAUUGAUUUUCUCCAUUAAAAUGUAAUCAGAGGGCUAUCCAAAUAGAAAUGCCAUCAUCCCAGGGGAGCCCAAGUUGAUAGGCAGAUUUUUUUCUCUCUCUCACCUGAAAUUCUACCCCCAGAUCACAUAUCUUUAAUCUUACUCCUACUUGCUCCUUUGGGCUAAGUCAACCAAAGGCAGGUAAGAUCAGGACACCUGGCACAGAGGUGACUUGAGAAGAUGUGAAAGAUGAGAAAGAGUCCAUCUGAUAGAAGAUGAGACAAAAAUGAACAACAACUGAGUACCUAAUAUGUGCCAGGAAUCUUAAUUAAUCCACAUAACAAGUCAACAAGGCAUUAAUAAAAAUAGCUAUUGUUAUUGAGUACUCACUAUGUGUCAAGCAUUGUCCUCAGCACUUCACGUAGCUUCAUGAAUUUAACCCUUAUCACGACUUCAUGAACUACAUAUUAUUAUGAUGCCCCUUUUUCAGAUGAGGAAUUUGAGGCAUGAAGAAAUUAAGAAUCGGGUCCUAAGUCAUACAGAAGCAAACAGCAGAGCCUGGAGUUGAACCCAGGCACUCUGACUUGAAAAUCCACCCUUUUAAGCAAUGUCCUUGUAGGAAGAAAGACCAACAAUACUACAAAGGUACAGAGGCCUGAGGAUGAACAGAUAUCCAGAAAGAGUCAGGAAUUAGUCAGGAAAGUUCCUCAAAUGUUGAGAAAAUGUUAUGGUUUCAGGUUCAGGAGAUUGUUUGCAUGAGAUAAAGAGGAUGGAGCUGCCCUGAGGCUUGAGGCAGGUGCAGAAAAAGAAAACUCAAUUACAAAGGGGGAAAAAAAAUUGAGACCUGAAGAAGAUGAGCUGCUAUAGCAAGAGCUACAUCAGGAGUCUUGGUUGUAAGGAAGAGAAGCCAGAUCUAACUACCUUAAGUAGACAAGCAGUUUUUUGGAUGGAUUUCUAUCAGUGAUAGAAAAGAAAAAGAACCAGACUUAAAAAGCAAAAGCAGGCAAGAACAAGUGAGAUCAAAGCAGCAGAAAUUGCAUCAUGGUCACACCCAAAAAACAGUUCAGUUAGGACACUAUCCCUGUGCACUUAACUGUGACCUGUCCCUGAUUCUGCUACCAUGGCUUUGAGUGACUGCUCAGUAUACCCUCAUUGGUAUGCCACACCCCCAGGUGGGGCAUCAGAUUGAGCCAGGGUCCAUGUCCCAUUGAGCUUCUAGAAUCUCUGGCAGAAUCCUUUCUGCCAUCAAGAGUCACACAACACAAGAUUAAUUAUCCUAUCCCUUCUCCUCCAGAACCCACAGCAUCCAUGGCAGCUUGAACAAAGAUGCUCCUGUGCAAGUUUAGCUGAGAUCCUGAUGACCAGCUAGCCUGCAUGCCAUAGUACACAAACAGCUAGAAAGGUGUCCAAGAGAGAAGGGAACCAACAUGCCUUCCGUCUCAUUAGAUAUUUUAGCUUUAAAGACUUUUUCCUUGGGAGUUGUCAUCAGCCUUGUGACAAAUUCUCCUUCACUCAGAAAGACUCCAAAACCUUGAGGUCCAAUGUCAUCCAGAUGACAAGGUUCUUAUUAUAAGUGAUAGAUGAGCAGUGGUCGACAAGGAUGACCAAAUGCUCCUGGAGUCAGCAGGCUGCAAACACCUCUGCCUCGUGACCCCUGUGAGCACAUUGCUCUUUGAGUGACACGCGGAGGAACUGUAAUAGGGGAAGGUGCUGGAGAGUAGGGGAAAUUCAUGCCUGUCUGCUGAUCUCAUAUCCACAGAAGAAGUCCCCGAGACUGUAAUACUUUCUUUUUCAUCUGAGCGAGGGUUGGACCUGCAUCCAAAUUUCCUUGUCUACACUUGUGAUGACCUGAAGAUCACGGUGUAAACACUAUGGCAGUGAUCCACUUUGCCAAGCUCCCAAAGCUCUCCUAUGUUGCAGGUUCAUCUUUUUGCUUAUUUCCAAUUUGUCACUGGAAGGUCAGACAAUGAGUCACUAAGCAGGAUGCUAUGAACAUACUGAGUGCUUAAAGAAUCUGGCAGCUGAAACCAAGGCAGAAUGUGCACAUUACGGAGAGAGCACAAUUAGCACUGUGACUAAGAACCAAGCGGCUGACCAAGGGUGACAACAAAGGGAAACUUUUAAUGAUGAGAUUUAAUUUCCAAGGAAAAACCUCUAGAAAAUUAUAAACGCAGUAAUUUGAUUUAAUCAUCUGCAUUUGAAUAGCUCUGCAUGAGCAACACAUUUAAACAUUUAUAAAAUUAAGAUGCUAAAAUUAAUGUUGAGCUAUUAUAGAAGUGCUCAUAAUUGUCCAAUGAUCGUGCAUAAUUAAAUAGCAAUCUCCAACAUUGCAGGAUGGGGCCCCAUUCAAUGAAACUGUCAAGAGCCAACCUGGAAGAUUUAUUGGAUGCAAAGUCUAUGAGCCGUGAGCCCUCUUGUGGCCACAAAGCACAGUGCAGUCUAGGCCCUCCCUCUACCCUUGAGUCCUGGAGGAGUUUAGGGGGCCAAGAAUCUAAGCAUGAGGACAGGACCCCUGAUUCUAAGAAAACUUCUGGGCAGUAAGCACACCCUCUCCUUCUGGAUGCCAACAGAGAUGCCAGGACAGAGCCCAAACCUUUCCAAGCCUCCAAGGAGGUGUUAUCCAAGAACAACUCCUCCCAUUUAUAUAGCUUCAAGUUGCUUUGAUGUACAGUAGCCUUUGAUCUGUAAGAAAAGCACUGUUGUCCCCAUCUAAAGAUGUUGAAACUGAGGCUCCAGAGGAUGAUGUGGCUUGCCCAAGGUCUUUCGUCCUUCAGUCUGAUUUUAAAUGCUGCCUCCCAAAAGAGGCCUUCCCUGACCAUCCUGUAUAAAGUUAUGCCAGCACCCACCCACCCACACUAGGUCCUGUCAAGCACUAGAACCUCUUUAUCCUAUUCACUUGCUGACCACAUGUUAGCUACAUGUCUCCCACACUAGAAUAGAAACUCUAGUGGGUCCAGAUCUGUCUCACUCACACAUGUGCCCCUGACCAAAACACUCAGGUAUUAGCUGGGUGUGAGUGCCUAGACACCCUGCUUGGGUUGACCACAGGCCCCUCACACUCUGUGUCCAAAGCUCAACUCUUGAGCUGUCUUGUCCCACAGACACAUUCCUCCUCCUGUCAUUCAUCAUCUCAGUUUGGAGGCACCAUUUCCUACCUAGUCGCAUAAGCCAGAAAUCAGAGUGUCUCUUGACUCCUCGGCAUUUGAAGAGCCGGCCCCACAUCUCCCAUCCAUAAGUAGCAGACACUGCCUUCUGCAAAUCCUACAUUCCAGUCGCUUGACUGUGCCCACCGCUCUCCAUUUCCAGCCACGCUUUCUUUACAGAGGUCAUGAUCAUGACUCAUUUGCAUUACGGCAAAAGCCUGCUGGCUGUCCUCCCCAGUUCCAGGCUAUAGCCAGAGGGUACUUCCAGAAAGACAAAGCUCCCUUCCCUCUGUCACUUGGAACCCUCUAGGAGCUCCUAAAAGCUCCCUAGUGCUUUUAGGAGAAAGUCCAAAAUAGCAAGCAUGCCCAACAUGGCCUGCAUGAUCCGGCCCCUGCUGCUCCUCCACCCUCCCCUCCUACACCCCAUUCUACACUAACCCCUUUCAUGGACAUCAUCUUACUGAAUUCUCACAAUAACCGUGCAAGGGAGACAUUACCAUUCCCAUUUUAUAAAAUGAAGCAAGUUUGGAGAGGCAAAAGUAACUUGCCUGGGGUCCUGAAGCCUCCUGGUUUAAAACCCAUUGCUUUUUGUACCUCCAUCUGCUGUUCCCUACUGUCAUCCUUGGCAUUGGUAAUGUUUGUUGAGCACCUCCUGUGUAUAAGACACCAUGCAAGACAGACUCUAGGACACCUUUUCUCUCCCUCCAUCAGAAAUGCACUAAGCAAGUUAUAAAAAGCAUUCUUGUUCACACACAGUUAGCAAGAUACUAACUGGAGACCAUCUGACUCCAGCGCCUUAUAUUCCAACAUCUAGAACUGUGGCCCAUCACAGGUACUCAAUAAAUAAUUGUGAAGUGAAUGAUUGUCCAUGCCCCUUCCUCCACUCCCUACCACCUUUUGGGAAGAACACUUGUCUGUAGUGUUAUUAGAGCAGUCCAUCUUAUAAAAGGUAAUGCCUAAGAAAACAUGAGCCUCACUGAUAUUCGUCUCUGCUUCUUCAGGGUCCUAUGAGUCUAGAAAACUUUUUUGUUUCGCCCCUCCAUGAAGAUGAUAAUUCUACCAUCAUACACGCCUCCCAUUCCAUUGACACAUCCUAUGGUGAUGCUGAUAAAUAGCUGUUGUAAAGAUGCUGGAAGACACCAGCCACACGUGGACUGUGUCCUGAAAUUGCAAUAUGUCAGGGGCUUCAGAUAUGACCUGUAUUGAGGUUAGAGUAUAGACCCAAGUUCUUGCAAAGCCCUACUAAGGCAAUGGCUGCAGGGAGGCAGAGGCAGUCCCAAGUCAGAAACGUGUUCCAGGCAACUGCUGAUGACACGAGAGUUGUCCAUUUACACUAGUUGCCAUGGCAACCUUACCAUCAAAUUUGGAAAGUCUCAUGAACAAGACAACCCUAGUGUUAGAGAUUUCAUGAGAAACACAGACAGAUCCA